GAAGCACGCCAGACCGCCGCUGGUGCAAGUCUCGAAAGAGCGCACUGGAGGAACGUCCGGACUGCAUAGGACAGCGCAGGAGUUAACGACUCUCCACCGUGAGGUGAGGAUCAGAGCAACAGAGACGAGCCGAUUAAGUUCGGGUGAAACGGGCAAUCUCUGCGCGCAGCAACACCAAGUAGGCCAGUAUUGAGGUGGUUCCGCUGAGCUGGCGGGUAGGUGGCAUCGAGCCGUCUGGUGACAGGCGGCCCAGAGUAAUGGCGGUCACGUCGAGGGCUUCGCAAGAGGCCCUCGAUGCACAGAAUCCGGCUUAUCGGCGGGCUUCACAC
This 329-nucleotide RNase P RNA is filed under the name Variovorax boronicumulans. RNAcentral's name for it is "RNase P class A". It matches the Rfam family "Bacterial RNase P class A". Rfam says of the family: Ribonuclease P (RNase P) is a ubiquitous endoribonuclease, found in archaea, bacteria and eukarya as well as chloroplasts and mitochondria. Its best characterised activity is the generation of mature 5'-ends of tRNAs by cleaving the 5'-leader elements of precursor-tRNAs. Cellular RNase Ps are ribonucleoproteins. Lineage: Bacteria; Pseudomonadati; Pseudomonadota; Betaproteobacteria; Burkholderiales; Comamonadaceae. The record is from RNAcentral. RNAcentral also lists the same sequence under 12 other names.